GAUGAACGCUGGCGGCGUGCCUAAUACAUGCAAGUCGAGCGAACGGACGAGAAGCUUGCUUCUCUGAUGUUAGCGGCGGACGGGUGAGUAACACGUGGAUAACCUACCUAUAAGACUGGGAUAACUUCGGGAAACCGGAGCUAAUACCGGAUAAUAUUUUGAACCGCAUGGUUCAAAAGUGAAAGACGGUCUUGCUGUCACUUAUAGAUGGAUCCGCGCUGCAUUAGCUAGUUGGUAAGGUAACGGCUUACCAAGGCAACGAUGCAUAGCCGACCUGAGAGGGGGAUGGGCACCAUGGAACCUGGAAACCGUCCCAGACUCCACGGGAGGGCAGCAGAGGGAAACCUGCGGAAAGGGGGGAAAGCCGAAGGGAGCAAGGCGGCGGGGGUGAGGAAGUCCUUCGAUUCGUAAACCUCUGUUAUUAGGGAAGAACAUAUGUGUAAGUAACAGUGCACUUCUGAAGGGAACCUAAGCAGAAAGCCAGGGCUAACUACGG
RNAcentral lists this ribosomal RNA (496 nucleotides) under uncultured bacterium. Its description in RNAcentral is "partial 16S ribosomal RNA". It matches the Rfam family "Bacterial small subunit ribosomal RNA", at positions 28 to 506 of the family's 1533-position model. The record is from RNAcentral.